This is a long non-coding RNA of Arvicola amphibius (Eurasian water vole), 2599 nucleotides long. RefSeq lists it as uncharacterized. The transcript is spliced from 3 exons. The record is from RefSeq and is a predicted model, not a curated record. NCBI's taxonomy places the organism in Eukaryota, Metazoa, Chordata, Mammalia, Rodentia, Cricetidae.
UCCUGUUCUCAUUGCCCUGCCUCUACUUCCUGUCUGUUUGUCCUGCUUAUGCUUCCUGCCUGGCUACUGGCAAAUCAGCAUUUAUUUAAAACAUAAUUGACAGGAUAUAGAAUUGUCCUGCACUAUUGAUUCAAAUAGUAUUUUGCCCCUAUACCCAUGUAGGAUGAUCAAUUUGCACAUCAGGACUGCUCUGAACCUCCACCAGAGUUUCCUUGGGCGUCGCCCUGCCCAGGCAUAGGUCACCACCUUUCUGGUCCUAAUGUGUGUGCUCGUGCUCCACCUCCCCAGACCUUUAAUCAUUCACUUUACCAGAUAAAACUGUGUUCUGCAAGAGCGCCAGCUGUAGGAGGUUCUUCUAUGUGUCAUUUUCAUUGGUUAACCAAUAGAGAAACUGCUUGGCCUAAUAGGGUAGAACUUAGGUAGGUGGAGAUGACAGAACUGUAUUCUGGAAGGAAGAAAGCAGAGAGUCGGAGAGAGCCACCAUGGAGCUGUCAGGUCAGACAAGCUGAAUCUUUUCCGGUGAUGUGAAGGAGCCCUUCUUACUGCUGUGCUCCCGAGUGCACCCCGAUUCCCAUAAUGAUGACUUAUAAGGCUUGCUGAAAUGCCCAAGUCACUUCUGUUGCUGUGAUAAAUUCCCUGGCUAGAAGCAGCAUAAGGGGGAGAGAGUUUUAUUUGGCAUACUGUCACGGGUUAUGGUCCAUUGUUUUGGGGAAAUCAAGGCAGAGACUUAAGAGGCUGGUCACAUACACAGUCAAGAGCACAGAGGUGCAAAUGCAUCCAUGCAGCCGGCCUGUGGCUUCUGCUCCCUGUAGCUUUCUUAGCUCUCACACCAUCUCACCUUGAUUAAGAACAGACAUGCACAGGGGUCAACCUGUUCUACAUACUUCCUUGGAAAGGCUGUCUUCCCAGGAGAUUCCAGGUCAAGUCAAGACCAUGGUUAUAACUAACCAGCAGAGGGGGCUGUGUGAUGUCAGGUUUCUAUCUGGAGCAAAUGAGCCCUGGGUUAGCAGUGAGGAACCUUUUUCCUCCCUGGUGUCUCGUCCACUCCGCCCCAAGCUUGCCUCACUAGACCUGAAUUCCAUUUUGCUGCAGUCACAUGCACCUGACAUCCAUCUUACUAUUAGAUUCUUGGGGUGUCCCCUCAUCUUUUCAAAUUCAUCUGCCCCAGGAAGCUGAACGUAAAUACCUACUGCUUUUCAUAGGAUAUUGAGCAGGGCCUGGGGUCUGUCCCGUGACUGUCAUUAUCCAUUACUAAAGCUGACAGUUUCUACUUCCCUCAUCCAGCUAGAAUACCGCCCUCCCUUAGCACUUGACCACUCUCGGGGCACUGAUCCCCUACCCAAUGUCACGGUUUUCUCCCUCUACUAGACUAUAAGCCUAGAUAUGAGAUGGAGCACUGAGGUCAAAGCCCCGGGUUCAGCAUCAACUACGUUUUCUUAGCCUGCUUACUUCUUUUCUGUCAGAUUGCAAGUCUUUAAAUUGAAAGCUUGUAUCAAGUUUUCUGAAGGUUCCGGUUUUGAUGAUGUGUAUGUGUGGGAGUCACACCAAGGGCAAAGAGUUAGGUCACUGUUGCCUCCCAUCAUCUUGUUAAGAAACAGCAUUCCACACUCUUACCGGGGAGCAGGAGCCACCCACCCUCUUCCUUGAGCUGUGUGUUCUCACUCUGCUUGCCAAAGCUCACACUCCAGUACUUGGCGAUCUAAGACCAAGCAUUGCCUCUGGCCAUUGUCCUACAGAUGGUCUCAUUCGCUGGACACUCUGCUGGGUCCCCAGAGGCCACCCUUGUCCAGUGCCUGACUCUGUAUGGCACCCAGGACACGCACCGACUCUCAGCAAACCCGGCUUCAGUGGUGUCCAGUGUCUUUACUCACCUCGGCCCUCCCCUGCUUGAACACGCCUCCUCUGCACCAUCUCUCCAGCUGUCGGCCCAGCAUGGAUCCAUCUGACUCGCCUUUCCAAGUCCCACCUGUCUCCUGAACCUUUCCCAGACACCUUCUGCUCAGUUCCUUUCUUUCAGUCAUAUGCACACCACACUUAAACCCGUGGGGGAGCUCUGCCCUGUGCUUCCCUUAUUCCAUGACCACAGACUGCAUAAUCCUGGGGAAAAGGAAAGGGGGUUCACAGGCUUGGGCAGGUGCCGUUUUUUUGAGCCUUUACUGCCUCCUUGUGGUAAUUUGCAUGUAGUACAUAGCCCCUUUGUGAAGGCCUUUACCACUCUGUGUUUAGAUGAGUAGGUAAGGGGGGGUCUUUGUUAUUCAAAGCAUACUAAGGCCUUAUGUUUGUCAGGCUAGAUACACAAACCAGUUUCUUCUUUCCAGCCACUCUGGCUAGACCUUGGGAGACUGCUUUUCCCAGAGAAAACGGUCCAGUGGAUUCAGUGAGGGAUUUCAGCAGGCUGAAAUCAAGAUUGAAGAUCCUUUCCCAUACCCCACCAGAAUCACUUCCUUCUGAGCUAAUAGAACCUGCUUAUGGAAGGUGUUCAGUGUACCCCAGGUGUGUGGACACUCACUCUGGACAAGCUGCCUGGGGUGUAUGUGCACCAGUCCUCAGCUGUGCCCAACCUGGAUGCCCAGACAUCGUCCAGUGAGCUGAACUGAGG